Molecule: long non-coding RNA, 613 nt
Organism: Acipenser ruthenus (sterlet)
Lineage: Eukaryota; Metazoa; Chordata; Actinopteri; Acipenseriformes; Acipenseridae
Exons: 3
Source: RefSeq, a predicted model, not a curated record
UUUUGUUUCAGAUUGCGUUCCUGUGUUGUUUUACGGACUGCCCGCCGUUCUCCUGCUAAUUCUGGUCUUGGUGUCUGUGGCGUGUGUUUACAGAAGACUUCAUAAAACUAAAACCGAUCACAAGUCCAGCGACGCGCCCUGCCGUCCUCAGCGCCCCGCACGACACAGAACAGUCCAGGAUUACUCGACGGAGUACGCAUCGCUCAAUCUGUGAUGCUGAUCUAUAAAUGCAGCCGUGGAGAUGUCCAAUUCACUGUGCAUUUACAUAGUAGUUAAUAAAUACAUGCAUAACACAAUUACAAUGUUAUUAUGCAUUGUUACAAUGUACUUACAGUGGAAAUCUCUGUGCUAGAUAUAACCCUAUCCACUAACACUAACCCUAACACUUUUCUAUUACAGCUGUGUACUUGCAUAUAUCGUGCAAAAAGACAUCCACACUAAGCACUUUGUAACUAUGCAUAAUACCAUUGUAAUGAUGUGCCAGUCCGCAUGCAUUUACCAAAUACACAGUAAUGAGAGACACUUGUUUUACACAUGUAAAAUAUUACCCAUUUGUAUUGAAAUGAACUUUAAACAGCCAGACUCAAAUUCAAGCAAGCCUCUCAUGCUGCAC